RNAcentral lists this ribosomal RNA (497 nucleotides) under uncultured bacterium. RNAcentral describes it as "partial 16S ribosomal RNA". It matches the Rfam family "Bacterial small subunit ribosomal RNA", at positions 28 to 507 of the family's 1533-position model. The record is from RNAcentral.
GAUGAACGCUGGCGGCGUGCCUAAUACAUGCAAGUCGAGCGAACAGACGAGGAGCUUGCUCCUCUGACGUUAGCGGCGGACGGGUGAGUAACACGUGGAUAACCUACCUAUAAGACUGGGAUAACUUCGGGAAACCGGAGCUAAUACCGGAUAAUAUAUUGAACCACAUGGUUCAAUAGUGAAAGACGGUUUUGCUGUCACUUAUAGAUGGAUCCGCGCCGCAUUAGCUAGUUGGUAAGGUAACGGCUUACCAAGGCAACGAUGCGUAGCCGACCUGAGAGGUUGAUCGGCCACACUGGAACUGAGACACGGUCCAGACUCCUACGGGAGGCAGCAGUAGGGAAUCUUCCGCAAUGGGCGAAAGCCUGACGGAGCAACGCCGCGUGAGUGAUGAAGGUCUUCGGAUCGUAAAACUCUGUUAUUAGGGAAGAACAAAUGUGUAAGUAACUAUGCACGUCUUGACGGUACCUAAUCAGAAAGCCACGGCUAACUACGUG